RNAcentral lists this unclassified non-coding RNA (354 nucleotides) under uncultured fungus. RNAcentral describes it as "partial contains 5.8S ribosomal RNA and internal transcribed spacer 2". The stretch from base 1 to 134 matches the Rfam family "5.8S ribosomal RNA", at positions 22 to 154 of the family's 154-position model. Lineage: Eukaryota; Fungi. The record is from RNAcentral.
UGGUUCUGGCAUCGAUGAAGAACGCAGCGAAAUGCGAUAAGUAAUGCGAAUUGCAGAAUUCUAGUGAGUCAUCGAAUCUUUGAACGCACAUUGCGCCCUUUGGCAUUCCGAAGGGCAUGCCUGUUCGAGCGUCAUUAUUACCUCUCAAGCCCCUAGCUUGGUGUUGGACGGCUUGGUUUCUUAGUUGAAACCCCUCCUAAAGUUAAUGACGGCGGCUUAUUAGACCUCCGGUACACUGAGCUUCUUAACUGAGCAUGUAUUGGUGUAAAUGGUUUAAUAGGGCCCCGGUCCCCUCCCUUUAUCGGGAACCCUUUCUUUAAGGUUGACCUCGGAUCAGGUAGGAAUACCCGCUGA